This 668-nucleotide long non-coding RNA is filed under the name Hordeum vulgare. Its description in RNAcentral is "long non-coding RNA (HVUL_LNC018973)". Lineage: Eukaryota; Viridiplantae; Streptophyta; Magnoliopsida; Poales; Poaceae. The record is from RNAcentral.
CUUGCGUUCUUAACCAGCUGGGCUGGCUACUAGUUCUGAUAAAAAGGUGUGUUGGACUAUAUUUGAACAACCUACAAAACAUCGAGCUUCAGAAAUGGCAUGACUAAGAGUCUUGGUGGUGAUAGGAGCAAGCCGCGGCGACUGUUGAAGCUCCAGAGCGUUGACGGGCGUGCGGAAAGAGGUUUGCUGCUGGCUGGGCGUCCCAAGUGGCACUCACGAUCGAUUCACGCGACUCAACAUGCUGCACCGUCUACAUUUUGAUCUAGGAAGGGGCGAAAUAGGUGGUAGCGGCACUGAAUCUUGCCAAGGUGACUCGGACGGUAGGGACGGCCCGAAUCCUGCACAAACAAGGUUGGGGAUGGAAUGGAGGCAAGGUAUGAUAGGGUAAGGACGGUGGCGAUGCUCCAUGGCAUCCUCGCACUAUGCAUACGAGAGAUAGAGAGAGCUGCGUGAGAAAGAUCUAAAGAGGAAGAUGAUAGAAAGAAAAGAGAGAAGCAGUGGCACACAAUGACCUACUGGGCUUCGACCGCGGAGACCUUCUAGUUUUUCCAUCGGCUAGGUGGUUCGAGCGGCGCUGGGAACUUGGGGCGAUGCACGGUCAUCGGACAACGAGUGAGCUACUCACACUCAUCGCACGGGGAAGCAGAGGACACCACGGCGGUGUGGCG